GACGAACGCUGGCGGCGCGCCUAACACAUGCAAGUCGAACGAGCGAGAGAGAGCUUGCUUUCUCGAGCGGGUGGCGAACGGGUGAGUAACGCGUGAGGAACCUGCCUCAAAGAGGGGGACAACAGUUGGAAACGACUGCUAAUACCGCAUAAGCCCACGGGUCGGCAUCGACCAGAGGGAAAAGGAGCAAUCCGCUUUGAGAUGGCCUCGCGUCCGAUUAGCUAGUUGGUGAGGUAAUGGCCCACCAAGGCGACGAUCGGUAGCCGGACUGAGAGGUUGAACGGCCACAUUGGGACUGAGACACGGCCCAGACUCCUACGGGAGGCAGCAGUGGGGAAUAUUGCACAAUGGGGGAAACCCUGAUGCAGCGACGCCGCGUGGAGGAAGAAGGUCUUCGGAUUGUAAACUCCUGUUGUUGGGGAAGAUAAUGACGGUACCCAACAAGGAAGUGACGGCUAACUACGUG
Molecule: ribosomal RNA, 466 nt
Filed under: uncultured bacterium
Lineage: Bacteria
Description: partial 16S ribosomal RNA
Rfam family: Bacterial small subunit ribosomal RNA
Source: RNAcentral